This 245-nucleotide long non-coding RNA is filed under the name Brassica napus (rape). RNAcentral's name for it is "long non-coding RNA (BNAP_LNC018765)". The record is from RNAcentral. Lineage: Eukaryota; Viridiplantae; Streptophyta; Magnoliopsida; Brassicales; Brassicaceae.
CAGGUUCUUUUUUUUGUCAAUUCCUGAAAUGUUCUUUCGGUCACACAAAAAAGUGCUUCACAUAAAUUUGUGAUAGAGAAAUGUUAGGGGUUUGUGACAGAGAAAUGUUAGGGGUUUUUUUUUUUUUUUUUGCCCCAGGGUCUACUAAAUGUUUAAGCCGGCCCUGGUAAGAUUGCCGUGUAAAGCCUUAUGAAAAAACAGUGAAUUACCCAAAGUGCGUUGGGCUAGUGGUUUAGUGCUUGGAG